This 496-nucleotide ribosomal RNA is filed under the name uncultured bacterium. Its description in RNAcentral is "partial 16S ribosomal RNA". It matches the Rfam family "Bacterial small subunit ribosomal RNA", at positions 28 to 506 of the family's 1533-position model. The record is from RNAcentral.
GAUGAACGCUGGCGGCGUGCCUAAUACAUGCAAGUCGAGCGAACAGACGAGGAGCUUGCUCCUCUGACGUUAGCGGCGGACGGGUGAGUAACACGUGGAUAACCUACCUAUAAGACUGGGAUAACUUCGGGAAACCGGAGCUAAUACCGGAUAAUAUAUUGAACCGCAUGGUUCAAUAGUGAAAGACGGUUUUGCUGUCACUUAUAGAUGGAUCCGCGCCGCAUUAGCUAGUUGGUAAGGUAACGGCUUACCAAGGCAACGAUGCGUAGCCGACCUGAGAGGGUGACCGGCCACACUGAAACUGAGACACGGUCCAGACUCCUACGGGAGGCAGCAGUAGGGAAUCUUCCGCAAUGGGCGAAAGCCUGACGGAGCAACGCCGCGUGAGUGAUGAAGGUCUUCGGAUCGUAAAACUCUGUUAUUAGGGAAGAACAAAUGUGUAAGUAACUAUGCACGUCUUGACGGUACCUAAUCAGAAAGCCACGGCUAACUACGU